This 259-nucleotide ribosomal RNA is filed under the name uncultured bacterium. Its description in RNAcentral is "partial small subunit ribosomal RNA". It matches the Rfam family "Bacterial small subunit ribosomal RNA", at positions 27 to 285 of the family's 1533-position model. The record is from RNAcentral.
GGGACGAACGCUGGCGGCGUGCUUAACACAUGCAAGUCGAGCGAGGCCCUUCCUUCGGGAAGGUGCCCUAGCGGCGAACGGGUGAGUAACACGUGGGCAAUCUGCCCCUAGCACUGGGAUAACUCCGGGAAACCGGGGCUAAUACCGGAUAUGACCUCUGAGGGCAUCCUCUGGAGGUGGAAAGGAUCCUGGCUAGGGAUGAGCCCGCGGCCUAUCAGCUUGUUGGUGGGGUAACAGCCUACCAAGGCGACGACGGGUA